Molecule: long non-coding RNA, 2247 nt
Organism: Felis catus (domestic cat)
Lineage: Eukaryota; Metazoa; Chordata; Mammalia; Carnivora; Felidae
Exons: 2
Source: RefSeq, a predicted model, not a curated record
CAAAUGCUGUAGCUGUGAAUCGGAAAAUUGCUGGUUCAUAGCUCUGGUUUCACAGCUGGCAAGUAGAUUGCACAGACAUUCCCCAGAGAUAGCAUAUGGUCUUUGAAGACCUAGAUACUGUUGAAAUUAAUUGAAUUUAUAUGACAUCUGGAUCAAAAGAAAAGUCAUGAUGGCACUAAAUGGCCCUAUUACGGUGGCUGCAUAUGAAGUUAGCAUGAAAAGAUAAAACACCAAGUACACUUCAAAUACCUAAUCAGUAGCACUGCCCACAUUAGCUCUUUAACUAUGCCAUGUUUUCAGUGCCUUUUUCAACUUCUCAUAAUCUGACACAUAUUCUUUUGGACACUGUUGUAACAAAGUCAAGCCAUCUUCUUAUGGAAGUCCGGAGAAAUGUUUAUGGCUCUACACCAUAGUGUAAUUUAGACUUCUCAGCCAAAAUUCCUAUCAGAAUUAAUUUGUAAUCACCCUUCCCUGAAAUAGAAAAUGCCCCAACAGAAAAUAAAUGAGGAACCAAAGAAACAAACCCCAGUGAAACAAAAGAAGUACCGAUGCAAUUACAUUUUUAAGGUGAAAAGGAGAAGUGAUGAGGUGCUUCUAUUUUUUACCACUUCCUUUAUGCAAAUUUAAACUGUUUUAAAUAAAAUACCCCCCCUAUAAAGAGCUGAUCUUUAGUAAGUAAAGAAGUUCCAUUUCAGCUUCUAUUUAAGGAUGGAGUUAAGGGAAAUAGGAAUAUAUGGAUAUAAGUGUUUAUAGGAAUCUUAGAAGAUUUUGAUAAAUUAUAUCUUGUUGAAAUUGUAAAGCCGACAGACUGAAUUUUGCUUAUUAAACUCUUGAAAACUAUCACCUAUUGCAAUACUAAUAGUUGAUCUUGGUUUAAACUAUUUAUAAAAAAGGAUCUUAGCAAAUAAUUUAUUUGGAAAAAAUUAAUCACUCGUUUGUCUAUGUGGAUUAGUUUGAUACUAAUGUGGAAAAUGCUAGACUAAGAAAGAAGGCUUUUCUGUCCUAAUACCUGACAAAAAGGUUAGUAGUGGGAAAAACUGAAAAAUUAAUGUCUACCAAGUUGCAUUUAAUGGCAAAAAGUAAAUUUUUAAUCCUUUUAAAUGCUCUGUGCUAAACAAUGGGGUUUUCAAAUUUCGGAAUUUAAGAUGUACGAACUCAUAAGGGUUUAAAAAUGAAGCAGUGUCUAGAAAACACUAGAUAUAAAUUUCUUUUCCAAAUUUAAACAGAUUUAAAGUCUCAGCAGGUUUAAUCUAAUUUCUGAUAUCCUAUUUUUACAUUGAAUACAUAAUAACAUUAAUAAAAAUUGAUCGCUCUCCUUGAACCCACUUGAAGGAAAAACAAAAACGCCAAAAUCCAGAAAGCUCUGUCACGUUUUAUGCUUUUUUGCAUGGAAUUUAAGGAUGAACAGUUCAGAGGCUACUUAACAGAGCUCACUUGUUAGGUUUUUCUGAGGCACAGAGAGUCGUGAUGAAACAAUAUGAUAAGUGCUUACAUCAUCAUAUAUCAGAGUGUCCCUCAAGCUGGGGGGAGGGGGGGGUAAGGAAUGACUAAUUUCCAGAUACCACAGGGAGGGAGGCAUUAUGAAGCUCCAUUAAUCACCACAAUGCUGUCUUCUGACUGUGGCAGUGACACCAAGGAGGAAUGACGGCUUCAAUAGAAGACAUUUUAGAAUCAAUAUUCAAAUUUUCAUUAAUAUUUUGCUUUGACUAGAAUGCACAUAUAAGCCAGAAUCAAAACAUUAACUUAGGUAAAUUCAAGAAUGGGAGUCACAAUGAAAUGGUUUAUCCCAAAACAUUUUCUGAAGUAAUAGUAAAACUUCUAAAUAAGACCCUCGUUCACAAACUAAACCAAAGAAAUGACUGAAGUAAUCAGAGAGCAAGAGGACAGCAAAUGUACUUCCAACAACACCCUUGCUUCUUCCGGUUACUUCCAUAGUUGCCUGGCAGUGGAGUCCUUUCCUGCUUCUUCGGUUCCUAGGCAUGCUCAGGGUUCUGAAAUGAUUUUUUACUAAAGAAUUCUGCAGGAUCAGCACAUUCAAGAACAGUCGAACCUUGUCCUGCCUUCUUAUGAAAAGUCUUAAUUCACUGGUUUGAAGCACGGCUCUCUGUUCUCUUCCUCAAUGGAUUCACAACCCCAAUGCACACCCGGAGAUGUGAAUCACCUCAGGCAUCAGGGCAGGCUUUGUUGGAAGAUUUCUGCCAUGUCUAAUGAUACUCUAGUUAUUAUAGUUUUUCUUUCUGUCACAAA